CUUUGAGGUCCGAGUCGGACCUGCCCUGAUUCUUGCUGCAGUGAUAUUUCGAACGGCUAGAUUAUCACCGGGUGACAAUUAGGACAGGUCCGACCCCUAGUG
This 102-nucleotide microRNA precursor is filed under the name Caenorhabditis briggsae. RNAcentral describes it as "pre miRNA CBG29610". It matches the Rfam family "mir-36 microRNA precursor family". The record is from Rfam by way of RNAcentral. Lineage: Eukaryota; Metazoa; Nematoda; Chromadorea; Rhabditida; Rhabditidae.